Non-coding RNA from Papio anubis (olive baboon), 99 nucleotides. The record is from Rfam. NCBI's taxonomy places the organism in Eukaryota, Metazoa, Chordata, Mammalia, Primates, Cercopithecidae.
AUCUAUGGCUACACCUCCCUCAUCCCAGAAGCUGAGCAGGGUUGAACCUGGCCAGUACUUGGAUGGCAGACCACCUGGGAAUAUCCGGUGCUGUAGGCU